UACAGAGGGGGCAAGCGUUGUUCGGAAUUACUGGGCGUAAAGGGCGCGUAGGCGGCCUUCUAAGUCGAACGUGAAAUCCCCGGGCUCAACCCGGGAACUGCGUCCGAUACUGGAAGGCUUGAAUCCGGGAGAGGGAUGUGGAAUUCCAGGUGUAGCGGUGAAAUGCGUAGAUAUCUGGAGGAACACCGGUGGCGAAGGCGGCAUCCUGGACCGAUAUUGACGCUGAGGAGCGAAAGCCAGGGGAGCAAAGCGGG
RNAcentral lists this ribosomal RNA (254 nucleotides) under uncultured bacterium. RNAcentral's name for it is "partial 16S ribosomal RNA". It matches the Rfam family "Bacterial small subunit ribosomal RNA", at positions 524 to 777 of the family's 1533-position model. The record is from RNAcentral.